AUGCCGGCGACGGCGGGCCGUGUUCGCAUGCCGGCGAACAACCGCGUGCACAGCAGCGCGGCGCUGCAGACGCACAACAUCUGGAAGAGCACCAUCGGCUAUGACCCCUACGCUCCCGAGGGCAACAACCAGCAUGGCCCUUCCUCCUCCGUCCCCGCCAACGCCACCGCGCUUCCCUCCUCGGACCCCGCGGCCUCCUCCCAGAGCGCCUACGCCAGCUUCCAGGCCGUCCUAGCGCUCGCCCGCGCCGCCAGAUCCAACUCCGACGCGACCCGGGGCGCCUGCAAGAAGUGCGGCCGUGUUGGCCAUCUCACCUUCCAGUGCCGCAACUUCCUUUCUGGUAAGGAGCUCCCCAUGGACGACGACAUCCAAGCCAGCACGCAGGCCAAUCCCAGGUCCGAAGAGACCAGGAAGAAAUCCUCUGGUGGCAGGGAUGCUGACGCGAAGGGUUCUGACGAGGAAGAUGAGGACGAGAUUGACAGCGAUUCCUCCGAUUACGAUAUUGAUCCCGAGCUGGACAAGAUAAUCGCUCAACGUGAGCGUGCCAAGGGCCAUGGAGAGAUCCGCUCUGGGGAGGAAGGCAGGCAGACAAACCACCAUAGGAGCAGCAGCAGCAAGGGAAGAUCCAAGCAAAGGAAGAGUGACAGAGAGGACGACUCAAGGAAAGAUAGGAAGAGGAGGAGAAUCCACCACACGAAGGAUGACAUGUCGGAAGGGGAAGGGAGAAAACCUCACCGCCACCAUAAGAGGGGUCAUCACCGGAGGGAUGCAUAUGAUAGUGACAGUGCUGGUUGUGAGUCCCUAAAUGAUAGGAAGCGAUCCAGCAAGCAAAAGAGCCGCCGGAGGUCAGAAAGCCAUGGAUUGGUUGAGGAUAAAAGACAUGGUCCACGGGGCUGGGCGCCGUUUCCUGAGAGAAGAGCACUGAAGCGAUAA
This 933-nucleotide ribosomal RNA is filed under the name Triticum aestivum (bread wheat). Its description in RNAcentral is "partial small subunit ribosomal RNA". The record is from RNAcentral. Lineage: Eukaryota; Viridiplantae; Streptophyta; Magnoliopsida; Poales; Poaceae.